AGGUGUAUAGCUCAGCUGGUAGAGCAAUAGACUUUUAAUCUAGUGGUCUUGGGUUCAAAUCCCAAUACACCUA
RNAcentral lists this transfer RNA (73 nucleotides) under Glaucocystis nostochinearum. Its description in RNAcentral is "tRNA-Lys". It matches the Rfam family "tRNA". Rfam says of the family: Transfer RNA (tRNA) molecules are approximately 80 nucleotides in length. Their secondary structure includes four short double-helical elements and three loops (D, anti-codon, and T loops). The record is from RNAcentral. Lineage: Eukaryota; Glaucocystophyceae; Glaucocystales; Glaucocystaceae.